UAGAGGCCGUAUUCGCGCUUCCCACAUCAAAAGAGAAGACGAGGGAACCUGCGUUCCCCACGAACACCAUGCACAACAGGAACGGAAAAAACGGCAGAGCAGCAGAGCCCGUAGAGAGGGAAGCAUAAAAGGCAAUAAAAGAGGCCUCUAAUCCUCUACUUCACCAGAUGCAGAGAAAGACGCGUCGUGCGGGUUGCUCUGCCAGGCCCUUUCCACCCCUUCCUUCGCAUCACCGUGUUCGCUGCUGCACACACACGCGUAUAUAUGCUAUGUAUAUACGCGCAUACAUACAAGCAUACACUGCACGACGGACACCCGAGUGUCAAGUUGGAAAAAAAUGGAAGGGCGAAUAACGCGAAGCCAUCAGCUCCCCUCAGGUGGAUCUGCGCAUACAUACCUAUCUACCCUCACACGCACGCCCUGCGACAGUCUUGCCUGCACACUCCAGCACAAAGGAACAUCCGAACAAGUUUGAACUGUAGCUGGUGUGCGUGCAUGUGUCUGAGUUUGUGCUCCCCCGACUUCCUUCACGCUUCUCUUCCUCACUGCAUCUUCUCUGCACAUCUCCCCAUCUCUAUUUACUAUUACUACGCCUUCCGCUACCGUUCUCCUCGCAG
RNAcentral lists this unclassified non-coding RNA (617 nucleotides) under Leishmania donovani. RNAcentral describes it as "gene:unknown". Lineage: Eukaryota; Euglenozoa; Kinetoplastea; Trypanosomatida; Trypanosomatidae. The record is from RNAcentral.